RNAcentral lists this long non-coding RNA (2635 nucleotides) under Gossypium barbadense (sea-island cotton). Its description in RNAcentral is "long non-coding RNA (GBAR_LNC012969)". The record is from RNAcentral. Lineage: Eukaryota; Viridiplantae; Streptophyta; Magnoliopsida; Malvales; Malvaceae.
UUUGAAUUAUUCACGUCCGGACUUUUCUUAGUUGUUCUUGUUUCACGAGAAAAGUUAGGCUGGACACUAACAAAGUCAUCAACCAUGGGUAAAAUAAAUGAAGACAACAACGGAUCAGGUGCUGAAUUGGAAGACACUGUACAAGAAGAACCCCCGAAGAUGGACUGUACAUUUCCUUCUCGCAGCUCUUUCCUCAGAAGAGAAAGCGUGGAAUGAGAUCCACCUUUACGUGAUUUCCUCUUGCGCUGCAUGUAACCAACAAUUAAGGAAAUCAAUAAUAUAUAAGUCCUUGGAUUGAUGCGAUGGGGAAACGAGGAAGCUCCACGAACAAAGCUAGUAAUGCUACUUCUACCACAUUAAUGAAGUAGAGGAGCAAGUCAUCUUACAUACUAACUUAAAUGUUUUUAAAAUGGUCCCAGCAAUCAAAAGGAGCAAAGAGGAUAAAACUUGCAGGUGAAAUGGAGAAACAUUAUACAAAUUUAGCAAAAUGCGAUAAUGAUUUUCAGGGUGCAUGUGGUGCGUGAAAAGAAAGAACUUAUUCUAUACAAUUUAAAUAGGAAAGUAGAAACACAAAAGAUUAACUCAAGGAUAUCUUAAAUAUAUUUCCAUGUUGCACCCACCCUCACUGCACAGACUGCUGUCAUAAGUGAAUCCAGUUCAGCAAUCAAUUGUAAAUGAUGUGAUUUAAAUUGAAAUAAAAAUUAACAAAUUAUUUAUUCAUAACAUUGAUUGAAGAAGUAAAAAGAAUAUAUAUAUAUAUAUAUAAGUCAAGUUUCAAUAUAACUAAAAAAAUUGUAAAAGUUAAAUUUAAACUUUUACAUUUAAUAUCACUCUUUAAUUUAUACGUGAGCUAUAAAAUAUUCAAUAACUAUUCAAAAUUUGAAGUUAUAAGAAUGUUAUCAGCUUAAAAAGGAAGUGAAGUCAAAUGAUAAUAAAUGCUUGCUUUAAAUAAUAAGAUUAGAUAUUUUAAAGAUAGGGUUAAUUAAUAAACAAAUACAAACAUACUACAGUAAUUCAAUUAAUUGAAUUAGGAGAGAAGAAAAGUGAUAUUCAUUUUCGACUUUUAAAAACUUAUUAAUUUUUUUAUUUAAUUUUAAAAUAAAAAAUAUACUUAUAUUUUUAGAAAAAAACUAAAUUAAAAUAUUUUUAAUUAAUAAAUAAAAAAUUAAGUCAACUUAGGAUCAAAAUUACACAGUGUCUUGUCCAAAGCUCAACGGGAGCCAUUAGCUAACCAUUGGAUAGGAGUAUCAGUGAGUUAGAUUAGUUUAAAAUAAUAAUAUUAUUAAUAUUAAUAUUAAUAAAUUUAAAUAUUGAGAUUGAAAAAUGCUAUAAAAAAAAUGUGCUUCUAAAAAUUAUUUUUGAAAAUUUUGAUAAUAUUCAUUAUUACUAUUAAAAUGUGCCUUUUGAAAAGAUAGAAUAUCGUGAUAUUGUAAAAUCAAAGAUUUAACGAGGGAUAAAAAGAUAGUUUUCUUGAAAAAUAUUUUUUCAAAAAUCAAAAGUUAAAAUUUUUGGCUUAGUUAAGAUUUAAUGGAGGAUUACAAAAAUCUAAUCUUGUACCUCCACUAUUUGUUUCCAAAUUUGAAGUAAAUGAAGAUCCGGUUGAACUCAUCAUGCUUAGAAGAGAAUUAAGACAGAAAUCCGUUACCCUAUAUUUUCAUUUUAUACCACAAUGUGUUGUCUUGUGAUCUACUACAAUCGGAGGAACACUCUUUGAUUCAUGGUAUUGAAGUUAGUUAGAACAAUAUCCCCAUCUCUAAUUUGUUCUUUCAAGCUAAUAUUGAAGAAUGUAGUGUUAUGAAAUCAUUUUUUAUUUAAGAUGAGUGCUUAAUGUUACAAAGCCUGAUCUAACAGUUAGUCCUUAUUCUCACUCUUAAGUUACAAAGAUUCCAAAUGCCAAUGUUUCUAAGCAACCAGGCACCUAUUCAGGAUUUAUAUGAAACAUCUAUGGGUUAGAAGAAAGUUCUUUCAACCUAUCUUCAUUUACCCUAGUUUAUCUAAUUAAAAGAACAGACAAAUAAUUGCCCUUUUUUUUAAUAUAUAUACCACCAUAUUUAUUUAUACACAUCACCGUUUGAAAUAUAUCAAGAAAACCUAUUAAAUGGAUAGAGUUUUGUCAAUCCAAGCACUUGGGACCAAAGGCCUGGGAGUUAUUUUCAGACACCAAGUUAACCAAUUGAACUUGUCAUUCAGACAUGUACCUAAAAAAAUAGUCCACCAAAGUAAAAUACCACUGAUAUACAUGCAUCAUCAUAUGCCGAGUAUAAGCGAGUUUCAGCCACAUUCCAUGUUGAAAACAACAUUUUUUUUUAAAUAUUAUCAUAUCAUAUGACCUGAGAAUAAAAGAUGAAGUGGAAACCAUGAUCAGGUCUAACAACAACUAAAAGAGUCCACAUAUGCAACAUAAAAUUACAUUCAUUCCUACCAACCUUAUUUCAACAUUUUCACUACACAGUAAUGAACCGUAGAUUUGCAAGUUUGCUUGCCAGGGGCUCUUCAUCGUCAACCCAAUUUCCCCGUGGGAUUCAGGUUCACAAUUGCAUUGCAGCAACCGAUUUGAACCUGAGAAUGCUGUUUUAUAAAAUUUCAUCAGGCAUUGUGGACAACAGCAGCCCUUGAACAAACUCGCAUCUUUUUG